RNAcentral lists this ribosomal RNA (461 nucleotides) under uncultured bacterium. RNAcentral describes it as "bacterial SSU rRNA". It matches the Rfam family "Bacterial small subunit ribosomal RNA", at positions 28 to 507 of the family's 1533-position model. The record is from RNAcentral.
GACGAACGCUGGCGGCGUGCUUAACACAUGCAAGUCGAACGGUAAGGCCCUUCGGGGUACACGAGUGGCGAACGGGUGAGUAACACGUGGGUGAUCUGCCCUGCACUUCGGGAUAAGCUUGGGAAACUGGGUCUAAUACCGGAUAGGACCACGGUCUGCAUGGAUUGUGGUGGAAAGCUUUGCGGUGUGGGAUGGGCCCGCGGCCUAUCAGCUUGUUGGUGGGGUGAUGGCCUACCAAGGCGACGACGGGUAGCCGGCCUGAGAGGGUGUCCGGCCACACUGGGACUGAGAUACGGCCCAGACUCCUACGGGAGGCAGCAGUGGGGAAUAUUGCACAAUGGGCGCAAGCCUGAUGCAGCGACGCCGCGUGGGGGAUGACGGCCUUCGGGUUGUAAACCUCUUUCAGCAGGGACGAAGGGUGACUGACGGUACCUGUAGAAGAAGCACCGGCCAACUACGUG